RNAcentral lists this long non-coding RNA (1613 nucleotides) under Gossypium barbadense (sea-island cotton). RNAcentral's name for it is "long non-coding RNA (GBAR_LNC000093)". The record is from RNAcentral. Lineage: Eukaryota; Viridiplantae; Streptophyta; Magnoliopsida; Malvales; Malvaceae.
GGGAAGAGAAAGGAGAGGAGAAAGCUCUUGAAUAUUCGGUCACUUGGGGAAGAAAAUUGAAGGUAAGUUCAUGGUAGUUUGCUUUUAUUUUGAGGUUCAUGAGUUCUUCUUGAUUCUACCUUAACUCUUGAAGCAUAUUUUGGUUGUUAGUUGUGUUGUGAGCAUUUAGUCAUGAAUUAAAUUGAAGGAAAUGGUUGUUGUUUCAUGUUCUUUUGAUGAAACAUGGAAGAUAGGUGAAGUUGAGCCAAACAAAUGAGCAUGCAUGUGCCUUAGAUGCUAAAGGGAAAAAUUGGCUAACAUGUUGUGCUUUAAAAUGAUGAAAUGGAUAUUAUACUUAAGUAAAAUCAUAGAUAUGUGAUGAUUGAUUGGUGAUAUACAUGUUUAAAUAACAUGCAUGCAAGGUAUGUGUGAAAGAGUUGAUUUGGUAAUAAAUCUGCUUGGGAUAGCAGCAGUAAUGUGACUUUAAAAAAUCACCAUAAAUUGUGGGAGAUGAAUUAGAAGCUGAAUAAAUUAUGUAAUUAAAGCUUAAUGAGUCUAGUUUCAAAUGGAAUAAACGAGAACAUAUUUUGAAUUCUGUACAAUGAGAAAUUUGAUUCGUAAUGAAGAGUGAUCAGAUUAGUCAAACAGUGAAACAUGGCAAACUUUAAGAAAAAUCUGGUAUUGAUUGGCCAUACCAAAAAUUCUGAAAAUUUUAUGGAUAGAAUAUAUAUGAGUCUAUUUUCAGGGAAAAUUAACGGAACUUUAUUUGGAGUUUCGUAGCUCCAGUUAUAAAUAAUUUAGUGGCUGUUGCUCAGGAAGACAACUUGCAGUGAAAUUAUGAUUAUGUGGUAAACAUUGACAAAAAUUUGUUAAUGAGUUGCUUAUUGUUUUCUUAUAAGCUUACUAUGAUCUGUAGGUGUGGUUGGCCGAAUAUUGUAAGGGGUUAAUACGUAUUUUGUAUUUGAAUAGUUAGAUUAACGUGUUAGUAAUCCAAUUGUAGGCAGUUCGUAUGUGGAUCUCGUCAGCAUAUCGUCGCAAACAGGUGUGUAACUAACACCCUCUUUUUUAGUCUGGAUCGGCAAAAGUCGAAAUGCCGAAAAUCGGUAUUUUGUAGAUUUGCAAGUGUGCGAAUGCUCGUGAGGUAAAUCGAUUAAUGUUUUUGGUAAGCUGCAAAAUUUGGACUGCAAAGUGCAUGAUUUCUGUACCCUCGAUAUUUUUGGGCUUAAUGGGCCAAAAUUGGAAUAAUGGGCCAACGGGCCCAAUUCGGUAAGAACCCUCGGUACGUGAUUCUGUUAGUACGUGAAAAGUAGGAAUAUGCAUGAAAAACCCUAAAAUAGAUAAAUUACUGAAAUACCUUUAAAAGUGGAAAAUUUACAGUUUUACCCCUAGUAGAUAAAUUACCGAAAUACCCCUAGGGUUAAAUUGACCUAAAUGCAUGUUUGACUAUUGUUAUACUGCAUGCCAUGUUGUUAUUAUCUGAUGCAUGGGAUUGGGAUAUUGACGGAGGAAGUAUUGAAAGUGGCUUGUCCACGUACUGGAGGCUUUGCCUCAAUUUACUGUUAACUGAGCAGCAAGGCUGCAACUGUGGAGUGUUGGGCUGGGUGGGUUGAGCUAUUCCCCACAUGGAGUGUAGG